RNAcentral lists this ribosomal RNA (253 nucleotides) under uncultured bacterium. Its description in RNAcentral is "partial 16S ribosomal RNA". It matches the Rfam family "Bacterial small subunit ribosomal RNA", at positions 524 to 776 of the family's 1533-position model. The record is from RNAcentral.
UACGGGGGGGGGAAGCGUUGUUCGGAAUUACUGGGCGUAAAGGGCUCGUAGGCGGCCAACUAAGUCAUACGUGAAAUCCCUCAGCUUAACUGGGGAACUGCGUGUGAUACUGGAUGGCUUGGAUGUGGGAGAGGGAUGCGGAAUUCCAGGUGUAGCGGUGAAAUGCGUAGAUAUCUGGAGGAACACCGGUGGCGAAGGCGGCAUCCUGGACCAUUAUUGACGCUGAGGAGCGAAAGCCAGGGGAGCAAACGGG